This 372-nucleotide ribosomal RNA is filed under the name Bacillus toyonensis. Its description in RNAcentral is "bacterial SSU rRNA". It matches the Rfam family "Archaeal small subunit ribosomal RNA", at positions 1 to 351 of the family's 1478-position model. The record is from RNAcentral. Lineage: Bacteria; Bacillati; Bacillota; Bacilli; Caryophanales; Bacillaceae.
UUUUAAUUCCGGUUGAUCCCGCCGGAGGCCACUGCUAUUGGGGUCCGACUAAGCCAUGCGAGUCAAGGGGCCUGCACCCUUUUGGGUGCAGGCACCGGCGGACGGCUCAGUAACACGUGGUCAACCUACCCUCAGGUGGGGGAUAACCUCGGGAAACUGAGGCUAAUACCCCAUAGGGGAAGAGGUCUGGAAUGAUCCUUCCCCGAAAGGGCGUUAUGCCCGCCUGAGGAUGGGACUGCGGCCGAUUAGGUAGUUGGUGGGGUAACGGCCCACCAAGCCUACGAUCGGUACGGGCCUUGAGAGAGGGAGCCCGGAGAUGGGGACUGAGACAAGGCCCCAGGCCCUACGGGGCGCAGCAGGCGCGAAACCUCC